RNAcentral lists this ribosomal RNA (400 nucleotides) under uncultured bacterium. RNAcentral describes it as "bacterial SSU rRNA". It matches the Rfam family "Bacterial small subunit ribosomal RNA", at positions 355 to 772 of the family's 1533-position model. The record is from RNAcentral.
UGGGGAAUAUUGGACAAUGGGCGAAAGCCUGAUCCAGCAAUGCCGCGUGAGUGAUGAAGGCCUUAGGGUUGUAAAGCUCUUUCGGCGGGGAAGAUAAUGACGGUACCCGCAGAAGAAGUCCCGGCUAACUUCGUGCCAGCAGCCGCGGUAAUACGAAGGGGGCUAGCGUUGCUCGGAAUCACUGGGCGUAAAGCGCACGUAGGCGGCUUCUUAAGUCAGGGGUGAAAUCCUGGAGCUCAACUCCAGAACUGCCCUUGAUACUGAGAGGCUCGAGUCCGGGAGAGGUGAGUGGAACUCCGAGUGUAGAGGUGAAAUUCGUAGAUAUUCGGAAGAACACCAGUGGCGAAGGCGGCUCACUGGCCCGGUACUGACGCUGAGGUGCGAAAGCGUGGGGAGCAAA